CGGUGUUUAACUGGCGUGAUGCGGGACGUCCUACCGGUGGGCUUAGCCUCGCGAGGGGCGGCCCAACUAAUAUCCCGUCGCGGUGCUCUUUACUGAGUGUCGAGUCGGGCCGGUACGUUUACUUUGAACAAAUUAGAGUGCUUAAAGCAGGCUAUCCUCGCCUGAAUACUGCGUGCAUGGAAUAAUGGAAUAGGACCUCGGUUCUAUUUUGUUGGUUUUCGGAACCCCGAGGUAAUGAUUAAUAGGGACAGAUGGGGGCAUUCGUAUUGCGACGUUAGAGGUGAAAUUCUUGGAUCGUCGCAAGACGGACAGAAGCGAAAGCAUUUGCCAAAAAUGUUUUCAUUAAUCAAGAACGAAAGUUAGAGGUUCGAAGGCGAUCAGAUACCGCCCUAGUUCUAACCAUAAACGAUGCCAGCUAGCGAUCCGCCGAAGUUCCUCCGAUGACUCGGCGGGCAGCUUCCGGGAAACCAAAGCUUUUGGGUUCCGGGGGAAGUAUGGUUGCAAAGCUGAAACUUAAAGGAAUUGACGGAAGGGCACCACCAGGAGUGGAGCCUGCGGCUUAAUUUGACUCAACACGGGAAACCUCACCAGGCCCAGACACCGGAAGGAUUGACAGAUUGAUAGCUCUUUCUUGAUUCGGUGGGUGGUGGUGCAUGGGCCGUUCUUAGUUGGUGGAGCGAUUUGUCUGGUUAAUUCCGAUAACGAACGAGACUCUAGCCUGCUAAAUAGGCGUACCUUAUGGUAUCGCGAAGGCCCCCGGCUUCGGCCGGUGGGUUUUUACUACCAACGUACAAACAAAUCUUCUUAGAGGGACAGGCGG
RNAcentral lists this ribosomal RNA (820 nucleotides) under uncultured eukaryote. RNAcentral's name for it is "SSU rRNA". It matches the Rfam family "Eukaryotic small subunit ribosomal RNA", at positions 629 to 1426 of the family's 1831-position model. The record is from RNAcentral.